Molecule: non-coding RNA, 70 nt
Organism: Phrynosoma platyrhinos (Desert horned lizard)
Lineage: Eukaryota; Metazoa; Chordata; Lepidosauria; Squamata; Phrynosomatidae
Source: the annotation of a GenBank genome assembly
CUGAGCGUAGUGUAGUGGUUUGAGUGCUGGACUAUGACUCUAGAGAUCAGGGUUCAAUUCCCAGCUUGGC